CGGGGUGUAGCGCAGUUUGGUAGCGCACGUGCUUUGGGAGCAUGGGGCCGCAGGUUCGAAUCCUGUCACCCCGACCA
RNAcentral lists this transfer RNA (77 nucleotides) under Clostridia bacterium. Its description in RNAcentral is "tRNA-Pro". It matches the Rfam family "tRNA". Rfam says of the family: Transfer RNA (tRNA) molecules are approximately 80 nucleotides in length. Their secondary structure includes four short double-helical elements and three loops (D, anti-codon, and T loops). The record is from RNAcentral. Lineage: Bacteria; Bacillati; Bacillota; Clostridia. RNAcentral also lists the same sequence under 1 other name.